UACGUAGGGACCAAGCGUUGUUCGGAUUUACUGGGCGUAAAGGGCGCGUAGGCGGCAAUUCAAGUCAGCUGUGAAAUCUCCGGGCUUAACUCGGAACGGUCAGCUGAUACUGCUUUGCUAGAGUGCAGAAGGGGCAAUCGGAAUUCUCGGUGUAGCGGUGAAAUGCGUAGAUAUCGAGAGGAACACCUGAGGUGAAGACGGGUUGCUGGGCUGACACUGACGCUGAGGCGCGAAAGCCAGGGUAG
This 245-nucleotide ribosomal RNA is filed under the name uncultured bacterium. Its description in RNAcentral is "partial 16S ribosomal RNA". It matches the Rfam family "Bacterial small subunit ribosomal RNA", at positions 524 to 768 of the family's 1533-position model. The record is from RNAcentral.